RNAcentral lists this long non-coding RNA (769 nucleotides) under Triticum aestivum (bread wheat). RNAcentral's name for it is "long non-coding RNA (TAES_LNC020696)". The record is from RNAcentral. Lineage: Eukaryota; Viridiplantae; Streptophyta; Magnoliopsida; Poales; Poaceae.
GUUUCUCCGUGGGCUUGUCUAUUUGCGGUCUUGAAGCUUCAUCAGGCACUGUGGGUAGUCUAGGUACAAACAACAUCAGCUAGGUAGUGGAAGGAACCAAUCUGGCAUGCACGCCUACUUAUGUGCUAUAGAAGAUGAGUCCAUGACGCUGCAUUGAUUUGUCCAUGAACUGCAAAAUGGGUACAAGAAAUGAAGGAGAUCAAUACUUGGCGAACAAGUAGGCCGAUAACAAUCAGAAUUCAGAACAUCCAACCACGUAUAUCUAAGCAUUCCAACAAGGAGUAACUAAUGGAACUUAUCAUGCUUUGCUUGAAAGUAUACACUAAAAGUAACUUCUGAGAUGCUUCACUCAGUUGAUCAGCUACAAGAAACCAAAAGUAAUACACAACAACCUCUAAUAUUUUCAUUUUUAGGGGAGUAACAUCUAAACACUAGGAAGUGCAUAAACCAGAAAAAUUUGUCAGCCACAAGUGUUUUUGUGUUCCCCUACAUACACACAACAAUCAUCAUCUUCCAUAUACAUGGACUUCAUUUUUCUGACAACAUGAACUUUGUUGUUGUUGCUGUAUAUGAACUUCUCCUGUAAACAAAGAGAGAGAAUGCACUAAGCCAAGGUAGAAUCUUACAAAGAAAACACACUUUUUUGUUCGAGGCAUAUACACAAACAGCUUGUGUGCACUGCCAGUUGAAGGAGAGGGCAGCUCAAUGCGGAGGCUAUGGAGUGCGGGGGCAGAGUCGAAGGCAGCAGCAGCAUGGAGGAAGAGGGCAG